This is a long non-coding RNA of Nothobranchius furzeri (turquoise killifish), 1586 nucleotides long. RefSeq lists it as uncharacterized. Lineage: Eukaryota; Metazoa; Chordata; Actinopteri; Cyprinodontiformes; Nothobranchiidae. The record is from RefSeq and is a predicted model, not a curated record.
GAAUUGGAAUGUUUAUUUUGUGAAGUGCCUUGAGACAACUCUUGUCGUAAUUUGGCACUAUAUAAAUAAACUUGAAUUGAAUUGAAUUAAUAAUUAGUCGACUUUACUGACUCAAAGGUAAAUCUAGACUACUUUCUAUACACAAUUGUCCUUAAAAGCUGUUCCAAACAGGUUUUAAUCAUUAGGCACAGUCUAACUCAAAAUGCAAGAUCCCUCCUUUCAUCUUUUAUUUAUCUAUCUUAUUUUGGGAAAAUAACUACCAGUUUUUAAUUCAAAACAGCCUGGUACAGGUUCUAGCCAGGUUACAGGAAAUAAUAGUUUAUCUCUUUCUCAUUAUUCAGCGUCUCAAAAUCCAGCCACUAAUGUUAAUGAUUCUUAAAGUUCAAGCAAGACAAUUAUUGGAUUUUAUUUCUAUAGCAAGAUUUACAGGAAUAGUUUUACAACACCUAUGCAAAAUAAUUAUAAGUGGGUGUAACUAAACAAUCUGGCACAAAUAUUUUAUUUUCCUGACUGAUUAUUUGUUAAUUUUAUGGUUUUCAUAAAGACGAUCCUGAGAACUUCAGAGCUGCUGUUCUGCAGCACCCUGUGCUAUUUUUAGACUACAGGAUUCUUGUGUGUAAAAGUGGGCGGAGUCAGGCCCUCAGGUUGAACCUUCAGCCUCAUUCCGCUCUCGACCGUCCAGGAGAAAAGACCCUCACACGGAGGCCAUCCAUGGACUAAGAAGAAAAGCAAGCCAGCCUUGGUCUCACCAUGUGUGUGUAUGCAGGCAGGAGAAAAGAGAGAGAGUGACAGACUCCAUUUACAGAAAAGCAAACAUAGUCGGGGAAAGCCCGGGCCACACCAUGUUUUUUCCCAUCAGCUGUCUCUAUUAAACACUGCGUCAUUCAACAGAAUAUCCAGCCACAGCAGCAUUCACUUCACAUGCAAAAAAAAAACACUCACAUUCACAACAGCACAAACAACAUUUUUUCUGUUUGUCACAGUCUUUCAAACAAAAGUAAGUCAGCCCGUCACUUAUUUAUUCUCUUUAUAUAUAUAUAAACGUCUAUUUACCUUAUUUUUCUUAGUAUCUUAUUUCCAGCUGGACUAUUAUCAUUAUGUUUUCUCCUAAUUUAAAUUUAACUGACCCAAAUUGGCACUUACUUUUCCUACUUUACACCAAAUCGGAAGGAGCUCCAUUAACAGCUUUUAUUCGUGUAUUUUUUUUUUUUUUUUUUUUAAGCACAAAAUUUGUAUAACACUGCACUGGUUAUUUUCAGAAUUUAAUGCUUACUAUGCUUUUAAGCAGGUCCUAUGCAACCACUACAGCAAGCCAAAUUGCAAUUUUUUGAGAGCGCUCAGAAACAGUUUAUAUAUUUAUUUUCUACAGAUCUGUUUCGACUUUACUGUUUAGCAGCUGUCCGACUUUCAAUAAAUGUAUAUCUAUAUAUUUCUAUAUAUUUCUAUAUAUUUCUAAAAUAAAGCUGUCAUUUACAACUUUCCUUGUAUUUCUUGUUUUUUCCUUUUAAUCUUCAGGCUACUUCACCCCCCAAAUCUGGGUCACUCACAUGCUGCCCCGUACACAAAUGAUUCUUACGCUUGUAUAU